Molecule: ribosomal RNA, 492 nt
Filed under: uncultured bacterium
Lineage: Bacteria
Description: partial 16S ribosomal RNA
Rfam family: Bacterial small subunit ribosomal RNA
Source: RNAcentral
AGUGAACGCUGGCGGUAGGCCUAACACAUGCAAGUCGAACGGCAGCACAGUAAGAGCUUGCUCUUACGGGUGGCGAGUGGCGGACGGGUGAGGAAUACAUCGGAAUCUACUUUUUCGUGGGGGAUAACGUAGGGAAACUUACGCUAAUACCGCAUACGACCUACGGGUGAAAGCAGGGGAUCUUCGGACCUUGCGUGAUUGAAUGAGCCGAUGUCGGAUUAGCUAGUUGGCGGGGUAAAGGCCCACCAAGGCGACGAUCCGUAGCUGGUCUGAGAGGAUGAUCAGCCACACUGGAACUGAGACACGGUCCAGACUCCUACGGGAGGCAGCAGUGGGGAAUAUUGCACAAUGGGCGCAAGCCUGAUCCAGCCAUACCGCGUGGGUGAAGAAGGCCUUCGGGUUGUAAAGCCCUUUUGUUGGGAAAGAAAAGCAGCAGGUUAAUACCCCGCUGUUCUGACGGUACCCAAAGAAUAAGCACCGGCUAACUUCGUG